Molecule: ribosomal RNA, 444 nt
Filed under: uncultured Allobrachymonas sp.
Lineage: Bacteria; Pseudomonadati; Pseudomonadota; Betaproteobacteria; Burkholderiales; Comamonadaceae
Description: bacterial SSU rRNA
Rfam family: Bacterial small subunit ribosomal RNA
Source: RNAcentral
UGGAUGAUGUGGCUUAAUUCGAUGCAACGCGAAAACCUUACCCACCUUUGACAUGGCAGGAAUCCUAAAGAGAUUUGGAGUGCUCGAAAGAGAACCUGCACACAGGUGCUGCAUGGCUGUCGUCAGCUCGUGUCGUGAGAUGUUGGGUUAAGUCCCGCAACGAGCGCAACCCUUGCCAUUAGUUGCUACGAAAGGGCACUCUAAUGGGACUGCCGGUGACAAACCGGAGGAAGGUGGGGAUGACGUCAAGUCCUCAUGGCCCUUAUAGGUGGGGCUACACACGUCAUACAAUGGCCGGUACAGAGGGUAGCCAACCCGCGAGGGGGAGCCAAUCCCACAAAGCCGGUCGUAGUCCGGAUCGCAGUCUGCAACUCGACUGCGUGAAGUCGGAAUCGCUAGUAAUCGCGGAUCAGCAUGUCGCGGUGAAUACCGUUCCCGGGUCUU